GGGUUGUUCUGUUGGUUGCAGAGUGAGAGGAAUAGUCUGAAUAUUUCAUCAGCCUACUCUCUAAAAAUACAGAGGAGGAAAAAAGGGAAUCAAAUUUUGAUAGCAUUUAGCUGUACUUCGUCUUCCAUCUCCCGACCACCUCCAUCCUGAAUGAUCGUUCUAUCGCUCGUUUUUGUCAUUCCUGUGACAUUCCUUCACUCUAUCAAUCUUUCUCUGUCUGUCUCAAGCUCUCUCCCUUCUUGUCUGACUCACAUGUCUUCAGCAGGCUUGCUUGUGAUGCAGGAAAGGUCUCCCUGGAGGCAGUUGCUAAGCAACUGGCUGCUGUUGGAUUAUGGGUUAAGUUCGAGGCAAAGAAACGCAACCAUGCUAGAUGGUGUAUGUGUGUGUAAUGGUGAAACAUAAGACAUUGCUUGUAUGUGCUGUGUUUGAGAAUCUGUGUCGGCAUGUAUGCAUGUGCUUGUGUGCGAAUGAGGGUAAAAACACAAAAAGUCAGUUUUAAAGUAACAUGUAUUCCCAUUGCCAUUUUUCAUGUAUAGUAUUAGCUAAUUUAAGGAAAUCACUCUCCUGCCCAAAAGCUCUGAGCACUUAGCAACAGACCCCUCCCCAUUCUUUCCUGCCCUUUCUGACUGUUUUCAGUUGCAGUGCACAUGAUUAGGAUAGAAUUAGUGACCAACUGAUGUGUCAAUGACAGUCAGAGACAAAGAAAAAGUUACAUUUUACUUAGAUCCAAUCUAGUUGGUUGGGUAGAAAACGAACUACAGUAAGUGGGAGCAAGGGGGUAUAUUUUCAGAGCUAGUAUUGAGCUAGCUAUUGAGCAAAUUGAUAUGGCAUCUCAGAUUCCCAUGUAGGACUGAACAUGUGACACAGGUCUAUGACUCUAUGAAGCAAAUCUCUGACACAUAAAAUAGUAAGACCUGUUUAGAGGUUUAGACAUGACAGCAUAUGUUUUUUACAGCUGUUUCUCACCCUACUGGGAUCCAUAUUGUGAAUCAUUCCUUCAUAAUCCGUGGCGAUGCAGAGUGUCUGUCUGUGUGAGCGUGUGCAUGUAUGUAGUCUGAAGCUUGUAAUAUGAAUGAAUUCCGCUGUCACUCUUUAACUGCCUGCUGUUCUGGGAGCUUCCAGAUGGAAAGGGAGGGAGUAAGUGAGGGAGAAGAAUGGUGAGAGAAAGUGAGCAACACCAAGAAGGGAGGGAGAGAGGAACAAGUGAGGAAGAGAGAAAAAAGGGAGAGAGAAAGGGAAGAGCUUAGAGCUGUACUGAAAGGGAAAGAAGAGACAAACCAAACAGGAAGUGAAAAGGGGAAAAGGAAAAGACUGGUAGGAUCUAAAGGAGUUAACGCUGGAAGGAGUUAUAAGAGUAAACUAAAUAACUGAAAUAGGAAAAAAAUUUUUGCCUGGAACCGUUGUCGUUCUUCUGCUCCGUUGUACUUCUCUCAACAUCUUCUCUCGACACCUUUUAUUUACCUGCAACCCUGAAAGUUUCCGUAUCAAGAGAGGAAAAGAAACGAGAAAGAAGCAGGAAGAAGACUGAACUCUUUUCUGAAUCUGCAAACUUGAACCGUUCUAAAGGUAUGAAGAUUCUAAGUGGUUUGUACCUGUAGCACUUUGAGGGAUGUACAGAGUUUUGCUCAACAAAGUCAUGAUGAUGAGGACAACAAAAAAAUGAGAUUCACUUAAAAAGAAAGAUUGAUGCAGAUAGUCAUGGAAGAUACUGUAACUGCAUGCUGGCCAAUGCUUCAUGACACAGGCAAACAGAUAGAGAAGACGAUAUAUCAGCAUCUCUGGUAAGAACAAACAACUCAACAAGGUUUGCCUGAAUUUCUUCCUUACCCUGAUCUUAUGAUAGACUCCAAGUUUUAGAAACCUGCUGUGUGGGAAAGCCAUUCCACUGUGAGCUCAGAACAAAAGAGAAGACCUCAGAGACAUUGUGGAGAAGAAGAAGAAAAAGAAAAAGAGGUAGAAGACCAGGAGAAAGGAACAGAGAGCCAGAGCUGGCUCUGAAAGGAACAAGGGAACAGGGGGAAAGGGUGAAGGAGAGAUGGGACUUCGGGAGCUUUUGUGAAGGCUUGAAAGAAUGGAAGCAGCUCCGAAAUAAAAAGCAGAACAGGGAGUCCCUGCAGUCCGCCUGGUACAAUGUGUGCAGGUGUGGUGCCCCCUGGAGGUGGAAAUUAUUGAUGAUAAACAUGCUCCCCCAUGGCCUUGCUCACGCGUGCCGGGCCAUCGAUGAAGAGCAGGACAACGACAGAGAGGAGAGGAUCUUGGCUAUCUUGGGAAUAGUCGGCACAAUUCUCAACCUGCUGGUGGUCAUCUUUGUCUAUAUUUACACCACCAUCUGAAGACUGGAGUGGGGAAAGAAUAGAUCCACCCAGAGGUCUGAGAGGAAAGAAAUUCAGAUUGGAAAGAUACUGCUUUAUGUAUGUGCUCAGUGAGGACAGGAGUAGAUUAUAUGUAUGGACAAAUGGACUACUUCAUUUGUGCUGGUUUCACCAUUUUUACUUAUCAUUUCAUAAUACUCCAAGUUUAAACCAACAAUAUUACCCCUGAAUGCAUUACCUAUUAAAGUUAUAUUGUAAAUAUUAUAUUAACCAUGGCAUGGCAUCCUCGUAUAUAUUUCUCAUGGCAUGGCAUUCUUAUAUAUUUCUGAUGUGAUUGAUUGAACAUUUUAGCGACAUUUAGGUGCUCACCAGCUUUAACGACAACUCUUUCAAAACGAUUCGCUGAAGAUAAUGGCGGCAUCUGCUCAGGAGACAGCUGCCACACUUGCUGGAUGUCUUACUUUGAGCAACUCUGGUGAAAAGAAGGAUAUUUCCCUGAAAUUUGCAAACAGGACAGCGUCCCUCGCAUCGAUUUACAAUACCAGAGUGAUUAAUAUCAACAUGUACUUUCUACUGUAUGAGUUUUACUCAUCUAACAAAGUUGACAAAACAUGAUAUCGCGAUUCCUAUGAUGGAAGAUGUGCUAAGAGGCAAACCUAGCUUCUUUGGUUUACAGUACAGUAUAUGGUUAUUCCAAUGCCUGAGCAGGAUCUGUAGCAGUGUACAUGCUGUGUGUAACUCAGUGUGCAGAAAAGUGGGUCUAUAGCUUUAUCAAACCAUUAAAACAGGGGUAAAGUUUGCACGGUAUUAUCAGCACCUAAAGCAAAAUGGAAUGGAAUAAAGUUACAAACAGUUGCAAAUG
Molecule: long non-coding RNA, 3174 nt
Organism: Tachysurus fulvidraco (yellow catfish)
Lineage: Eukaryota; Metazoa; Chordata; Actinopteri; Siluriformes; Bagridae
Exons: 2
Source: RefSeq, a predicted model, not a curated record